This is a long non-coding RNA of Aedes aegypti (yellow fever mosquito), 507 nucleotides long. RefSeq lists it as uncharacterized. The transcript is spliced from 3 exons. Lineage: Eukaryota; Metazoa; Arthropoda; Insecta; Diptera; Culicidae. The record is from RefSeq and is a predicted model, not a curated record.
AACGCCCCUCGUAAAUGAGCGCACCUUCAAUUCACCGACCCGAUGUACAUUGACGUCGACUAGACAGGAGCAGAGUGACGGGGACAGGACCGUGUUUUGGAAAGACAUGUGCGAUUCGUUUAUCAUUGCGAGCUAAAAAGCAACAUUGUGCAUAUAAAGUGCUGAAUUAUUGAUAAUUUGCGAUAAUUUUCCCUUAAAUUAGAAUUGAAAAUUUGAUAUCCUACUUACGAACUACGGUAAAAUUUGAUAUUAUGUGCUACAGAUCAUGCAUUAACAUUAAAUUCACUUUUCAGUAAAAGUUAUAAAUCUUCCUAAAGAUCAGCCGCUGGUUUCAAGUUAAUUUAUGAAUUAGAACAUGUUAUAACGAUACAGCCAACAGAGCGAAGUUAUAUUUAUCGCCCGGGAUAAAAACGCAAGAAAUUUACAAAACGAAACUUUAACGUUGGCCUCAAUAAACCUGUUUAAAAUUUCGGAACAUAGUUUUCUUCAGUUGCUAGCGCAACAGAU